Molecule: non-coding RNA, 76 nt
Organism: Podarcis lilfordi (Lilford's wall lizard)
Lineage: Eukaryota; Metazoa; Chordata; Lepidosauria; Squamata; Lacertidae
Source: the annotation of a GenBank genome assembly
CUUUAUAGCUCAGUUGUUAGAGCAUAAGACUCUUAAUCUCUGGGACAUGGGUUUGAGCCCCAUGCUGGUUGAAAGA